UACGGGGGGGGGCAAGCGUUGUUCGGAAUUACUGGGCGUAAAGGGCUCGUAGGCGGCCAACUAAGUCAAACGUGAAAUCCCUCGGCUUAACCGGGGGAACUGCGUCUGAUACUGGAUGGCUUGAGUUUGGGAGAGGGAUGCGGAAUUCCAGGUGUAGCGGAUGAAAUGCGUAGAUAUCUGGAGGAACACCGGUGGCGAAGGCGGCAUCCUGGACCAACACUGACGCUGAGGAGCGAAAGCCAGGGGAGCAAACGGG
Molecule: ribosomal RNA, 256 nt
Filed under: uncultured bacterium
Lineage: Bacteria
Description: partial 16S ribosomal RNA
Rfam family: Bacterial small subunit ribosomal RNA
Source: RNAcentral